This 253-nucleotide ribosomal RNA is filed under the name uncultured bacterium. RNAcentral describes it as "partial 16S ribosomal RNA". It matches the Rfam family "Bacterial small subunit ribosomal RNA", at positions 524 to 776 of the family's 1533-position model. The record is from RNAcentral.
UACGUAGGGUGCGAGCGUUGUCCGGAAUUAUUGGGCGUAAAGGGCUCGUAGGCGGUUUGUCGCGUCGGGAGUGAAAACACCGGGCUUAACUCGGUGCUGGCUUUCGAUACGGGCAGACUAGAGGUAUUCAGGGGAGAACGGAAUUCCUGGUGUAGCGGUGAAAUGCGCAGAUAUCAGGAGGAACACCGGUGGCGAAGGCGGCGACCUGGGUAGAUACUGACGCUGAGGUGCGAAAGCGUGGGGAGCAAACAGG